This 460-nucleotide long non-coding RNA is filed under the name Panax ginseng (ginseng). Its description in RNAcentral is "long non-coding RNA (PGIN_LNC002647)". The record is from RNAcentral. Lineage: Eukaryota; Viridiplantae; Streptophyta; Magnoliopsida; Apiales; Araliaceae.
ACAGAUUGAUUUAAUGCAUGUGACGCGGGAUUGAGAAAAAAGCAAACAAACCCAUCACAAUCACAACAAUUAAGAACGAGAAUAUUUUGAAAGAAGUAAAUUCAUGAGCCCAUACAGUAAUUUCAAUACGAAAUGAAAAAAAAAAAUGAAGAACACAGCUCAUUUAAUAGAUUACAUAACAAAUUCGAAGAUGGAAAAUUUGUAUUCUGAUUGUAGUAAAGAUGUAGGGAAAUUAUGAAGAUUCAAGAAGAAAUGUAAAGAAAAGGGAUAAACACGAAACAGUGUCAAAAUCCAGGUGGGUCUGGAAUCUGUUAGCAGAAGGCAAGGGAAAUGAAAAGAGACCAAAAGGAUAUUGAAAAAAACAAUGUCAGAGAAAAUACAGAGGAGAGAAAAGAGAAGUACAGAGAAAAUGAGUUCAUCAGCUACAAACAAACUGUCUAAAUCUGUGGCAUACAUUAAC